RNAcentral lists this unclassified non-coding RNA (549 nucleotides) under Hevea brasiliensis (rubber tree). Lineage: Eukaryota; Viridiplantae; Streptophyta; Magnoliopsida; Malpighiales; Euphorbiaceae. The record is from RNAcentral.
AUGAAGGAGAAGGAAGAGGAGCUCCUCUCUCUAAGGAAAAAGAAAAGCAGGGGAUGGAAGACAAUGUUCCCAUUGGAGGGAAAUUUUGUUUUCCUUUUAGCUUAAAUUAUUACACAUUAGAGUAAUUUCUUACAAGUUAGCACACAAGUAUUGAACGUUAUGCCCUCUCUCGCUCAGACACUUGUCUAAUAGUGUCAAAAAUAAAAGUUCAAGUGUGUGAUGGGAUAAAUUUUAUUAAAAAAAGAAAAGGUAAAGGUAUCAUCAGGAUUUUUGGUAAUGUUCAUGGGGCAAAAUAUAUAUUCACCUAAAUAAAAUUACAAGAAACACAACUGACAAGGUGAUCUAAAUUUUGAUACAACAAUCACUCCAGUAUGUUUUGUUAACCGCUACAAAAUUUGAUGCCAUGUUUUGAUACUAGUAGGUAAUUAAAUCCUAAAAUUCUAAACAGAAAAUAUAUCUAACAAAAAAAAAAGUAAUCAUAUGUGGUAAAAUGCCACAUUUUUCAACUGCCUGAUAUCAUUUAUUCCUAAUAUUGGGAAGACUUGCAGA